This 577-nucleotide ribosomal RNA is filed under the name uncultured bacterium. Its description in RNAcentral is "bacterial SSU rRNA". It matches the Rfam family "Bacterial small subunit ribosomal RNA", at positions 338 to 916 of the family's 1533-position model. The record is from RNAcentral.
CCUACGGGAGGCAGCAGUGAGGAAUAUUGGACAAUGGGCGCAAGCCUGAUCCAGCCAUGCCGCGUGCAGGAAGAAGCAUCUAUGGUGUGUAAACUGCUUUUGUACGGGAAGAAACACCUCUACGUGUAGAGGCUUGACGGUACCGUAAGAAUAAGGAUCGGCUAACUCCGUGCCAGCAGCCGCGGUAAUACGGAGGAUCCAAGCGUUAUCCGGAAUCAUUGGGUUUAAAGGGUCCGUAGGCGGUUUAGUAAGUCAGUGGUGAAAGCCCAUCGCUCAACGAUGGAACGGCCAUUGAUACUGUUAGACUUGAAUUAUUAGGAAGUAACUAGAAUAUGUAGUGUAGCGGUGAAAUGCUUAGAUAUUACAUGGAAUACCAAUUGCGAAGGCAGGUUACUACUAAUGGAUUGACGCUGAUGGACGAAAGCGUGGGGAGCGAACAGGAUUAGAUACCCUGGUAGUCCACGCCGUAAACGAUGGAUACUAGCUGUUCGGAGCAAUCUGAGUGGCUAAGCGAAAAGUGAUAAGUAUCCACCUGGGGAGUACGUUCGCAAGAAUGAAACUCAAAUGAAAUUGACGG